Acyrthosiphon pisum (pea aphid) is the source of this 622-nucleotide long non-coding RNA. RefSeq lists it as uncharacterized. The transcript is spliced from 4 exons. The record is from RefSeq and is a predicted model, not a curated record. NCBI's taxonomy places the organism in Eukaryota, Metazoa, Arthropoda, Insecta, Hemiptera, Aphididae.
AUACGCCAGGGAUGGGCGUACCAUUUAUUACUGGCCCGUGCUACAUUUCAAUUUAGUUUAUAAAUUUAUUAAAAUCGAUAUUAUGUUUAUCAUAAAAAGUAGAUAUAAAUUCUUAUAUAGUAUUGAACUAUUGAAUGUAAACAAUAUUAUAUAAUUUAUAGGCGUAUAGUUAACAUUAAGUUUUUUUUAGCUUUCCAUGUUCUCUGACCCUCUAGAUUUUCACACAUUCAAAAUUGGCCCUCUAGUAUCAUUGAGUUGCCCAUCCCUGGUAUACGCAAUGUACGACGGUGCCAGUGCAAGUGAGUAUUACAUACUUCAAAGGCCCUAUAUAUAUUCACAACCAAGGUCAUGUUACAUCCAUAUAGAGAGUGAGUCUAAAGCUCGUAUAACUGGAUACUUAAUUGUACACACGUGUCAAGGUUGACUACUGAUAUUAAUUAUAUAUUUCAACAUAUAGAAUAUACUAUUUUUUUAUUAAUAUAACAUUGAUAUUGCUAGAAGGUCAUUUACAUUCCAUUUAUAAGACAAUUAAAGAAGCAAUAGAUACCGAAUUGGAAGAAAAUAUAAGGACUCCAAAUCAAUAUUGUACUAUGUAUUACAAGGGACAUAAGUCUGACCGUAA